RNAcentral lists this ribosomal RNA (253 nucleotides) under uncultured bacterium. RNAcentral describes it as "partial 16S ribosomal RNA". It matches the Rfam family "Bacterial small subunit ribosomal RNA", at positions 524 to 776 of the family's 1533-position model. The record is from RNAcentral.
UACGUAGGGCGCAAGCGUUGUCCGGAAUUAUUGGGCGUAAAGAGCUCGUAGGCGGUCUGUCGCGUCGGAUGUGAAAGCCCGGGGCUUAACCCCGGGUCUGCAUUCGAUACGGGCAGACUAGAGUGUGGUAGGGGAGAUCGGAAUUCCUGGUGUAGCGGUGAAAUGCGCAGAUAUCGGGAAGAACACCCGUGGCGAAGGCGGCUCUCUGGAACGCAACUGACGCUGAGACGCGAAAGCGUGGGGAGCAAACAGG